UAACAAUAAAAAAAUUAAUUUCGACUUAAAAAUAGGUUUUAUAAACCCUUGUUAA
This 55-nucleotide transfer RNA is filed under the name Austropallene cornigera. Its description in RNAcentral is "tRNA-Arg". RNAcentral also lists the same sequence under 2 other names. The record is from RNAcentral. Lineage: Eukaryota; Metazoa; Arthropoda; Pycnogonida; Pantopoda; Callipallenidae.